CAAUGUGUGCUGAGCACCAGUUCCGUCGUCGACCAUUGCCACGUCACAGAACUCCUGGCGAGAC
This is a non-coding RNA of Caenorhabditis elegans, 64 nucleotides long. The record is from Ensembl. NCBI's taxonomy places the organism in Eukaryota, Metazoa, Nematoda, Chromadorea, Rhabditida, Rhabditidae.